Molecule: non-coding RNA, 83 nt
Organism: Meloidogyne enterolobii
Lineage: Eukaryota; Metazoa; Nematoda; Chromadorea; Rhabditida; Meloidogynidae
Source: the annotation of a GenBank genome assembly
UUAUUGAUGGUUGAGUGGUUAAGUUGCUGGACUUUGACUAGCGUUUAUUCAUUAUUGUUAGGUUCGAAUCCGAAUUUAGUGAU